UUUUUUAGUCCGUUUUUUUUUUUUGUCCGUAGCUUUGCUGUAGGAAACCUUAUAUGCGUGUAAACCCUUAUACGCGUCUUCUGCCUCUAUCCUCACCUGUUAGAGAACCAAAAAAAAAAAACGCCAUCUCGUGACUCUCCCGUGACGCCUUCUGCAUUUUUCCGACGCCGGUGCUCCAUCCCGUCGCUUCUCGUCGACGCUGCUGCCGGAGCGCCAUCGCCAUCUCAUCUCCUCGGUGCUCCUUCCUUUCCCGUCGAUUUCUUCUUCGUUGCUCGACGUUCCUGCCUUCUCUCGACGUUCCUUCCUUCUCCGACGUCCGUUCCUUCUCCACAAGGCGAUUCCUCCGUCGGUCGAUUGUCUCCGGGAGCACACUUCCUCCGACAUUCUUCUCUUUGGUCGAUUUCUUCUCCAAAAAGGUGAAACCCUAGAUUUAUUUUGUUAUCUAUCUCAUGUAUUUUUUUUUUCUGAAAUGGUAAGUUUCAGGUUUGUAUACUGAAUUUCAUCUAUGACAACAAAAUUGAGGUGAAUAUUGCUCAACUAUCUCUAUUAUCAAAUUUUAAUGUAAUUGGAGCUUUAGAAUGUUAUGGGUACCAGCAUGUUGUUUAGGUUCUUCAAGUCUUUAAACUUCAAGGCUUUUCGGGGACAAUGUGUCUGUAAGAAAAAAGCUUGAAGGGUUUGCCAGCGUAAGUUUAUUGCUCUCACAAAUUUUCUUAUUUUCAGAAUAAUGCAGUGCACACCAUGUGUUUGAUAAAAGUUCCCCUAUGUAAACUAUCUGUUUGGAAAGAGAGAUUCUACUCUAAACUCUAGUUAUUAUGUCAAAUGUUGUAAAAACAAGUCAUUUUGGCCGUGUCAUGGAUUUGAACCUUUUUUCUUAUUAAUGAUGGAAAUUAGAGCAUUCACUAUUCAUAUCAUGGAUUUUACAGGUUUUUUUGGAUAUUGGCAAACGAAAUAUGUGUGAGGAUAGCAAAGUUAAAACCAAGAUUCUGUUUUUUGGGCUUCUCUUUGCUGCUUCAAAUAACUACACCAAAGAAUACUUGUAGAACUAUCCAUCUAUCCAGGUAUUCUAAUUGAUGAACUAAUGUAAAUGGUAAACAAGACUUCAAAACUGAUUAGUUUAAUGAACCUUUGUAUCUUUCAUUUGAUAGGUUAAUGAUCGUCUAUUUGAUAGUGUACCUAACCUUAUUGGCAAUUUGUAUUUACAAUUUGUAAUGUGGUUUUUAAUGUAAUGUUUUUGGUUAGUAAAAUGUAUUUUUAGUUUAAAAUUAUGUUUUUUAGUUUCAAAUUAUGGUUUUUUAAUGAGUCGGUUAUUGUAGUGAUUCAACAACAUGAUUAUUAGAAGGAAAGGUGUUUUAAUUUUUGAGCUAGUUAAAUGCAAGAUAUACAUGCUUAUUAUAACAUCCUACUUUCAUUUUGUCUUACUUAUAGCGUUGUACUUUCAAAAAUGUUCCUAAUUAUGGCAUAAUAAACAAAUACUUGAAAGUACAUUGCUAUGUUUGUAUUUUUUUGUGAUCAUUGAUUAUGGUGUUUUAAACAGGAACAAUUGACGGCAUUUGAUUCAAAACUCAAAUUGAAGAACACGGGUCGGCCUUUAUUGACUCGACUUAACUCACCCGGUAAAUUGCCGAGUAAUCCACCAAAUAAUUCUUAGUUUUAUGUUUGUAAACACUUAGUUAAACAUUUGUGGUUGACACUUUUAAUGUGUAUUAUUAGAUGCAUUUAAUGUAGUAUUAGACAAUGUUAGUAAUAUGUAUUUGUAUUUGAUAUUUUUUUAGUUUUAUUAGUUUUAUUGUAAUGUUAUUUGUUUUGUGGUUGAAUUUCAAUAUUAUUAUAAGUUUAAUGUAAUGUUUUUUUUAAUAUUUUGGACAGAAAAAAAUGGAUUUUUUAUAAUUUUUUGCUGUUUUUUUUUUAAAAUAAAAAGUAAUUACCUACGGAAAAUCUGUAGGUAAUGUGAGCCGUAGGAAAUCCGUAGGUGGUAAAGUCAAUGUUAGUCAAAGUGGGCUCCGUCA
Molecule: long non-coding RNA, 2006 nt
Filed under: Lactuca sativa (garden lettuce)
Lineage: Eukaryota; Viridiplantae; Streptophyta; Magnoliopsida; Asterales; Asteraceae
Description: long non-coding RNA (LSAT_LNC000358)
Source: RNAcentral